This 253-nucleotide ribosomal RNA is filed under the name uncultured bacterium. RNAcentral describes it as "partial 16S ribosomal RNA". It matches the Rfam family "Bacterial small subunit ribosomal RNA", at positions 524 to 776 of the family's 1533-position model. The record is from RNAcentral.
UACGUAGGGGGCAAGCGUUGUCCGGAAUUAUUGGGCGUAAAGCGCGUGUAGGCGGCUCGGUAAGUCUGCUGUGAAAGUCCAGGGCUCAACCCUGGAACGCCGGUGGAUACUGUCGAGCUCGAGUCCGGAAGAGGCGAGUGGAAUUCCUGGUGUAGCGGUGGAAUGCGCAGAUAUCAGGAGGAACACCAAUGGCGAAGGCAGCUCGCUGGGACGGUACUGACGCUGAGACGCGAAAGCGUGGGGAGCAAACAGG